This is a long non-coding RNA of Brachypodium distachyon (stiff brome), 1626 nucleotides long. RefSeq lists it as uncharacterized. The transcript has 6 exons. Lineage: Eukaryota; Viridiplantae; Streptophyta; Magnoliopsida; Poales; Poaceae. The record is from RefSeq and is a predicted model, not a curated record.
AGGCUGAGAACUCGGUGUUUAGUGCUUCAGUCGGCAUGGAAAUUCUCUGCUCGUUCUUCUGACGCAACUCUUCAGCGGCGGUUACCGCAGCAUCCCUCUCUUGUUGGAGCUUCACUUUGUCUGCUUGGAGCACUUCGAUAAGGGUCUUCGAAAGCAGAACCAGUUACCUUGUGAAGAGCUGAAAACAACUCAUGGUCGGCUUUUCGGCGCUUGGUUGAUUCCUCAAAUGCUUCUUUCUUGGAUUCUUGAGAUUCGCGGAGAGCCUCUUCAAGUCUAGCAUACAUUUCUGCAUCAACACCUGAACUCUCCUGUGUGCAGCAAAGAACUUCAGUUAUCUAUUGCAUUUCAUUAGCUCAUGAGAAGGAGAUGAAAGGCGGUCAUCAUCAGAUUCAUUCAAUGGAUGCUGCAUUGCUGAUUCAGAGACACUGGUUGCAUCACCAUUUCUCGAUAAAUUGUACCAGGAGCUUUCCGAUCUCCUCCCAAAAUCAUCCCAGGAAUCUAGAGAACUCAUCGGUGUUCUUGGUGGCCUGCUGUUUGCAUUGAGUUUGAAAGGUUCAAAUAGCCUAGAUGGUGUACUGCCAGCUGCCCGAGAGGUAUGACGUGGCACUGCUGUUACCGAUCUGUUCAGUCCCUGCUUGGGACUUCCGUUUGAGCUUGAUGCUUCACUCUCUGUGUGGUGAAUUGUUAAUGAUCUCAUAUGGCUGGAAAUGCUGUUCUCGGACAAUGUUGAUGCAACCGUGGGUGCAGGUGAUGGUGGUACCGCAGGAACAGUUGUGUUUGCUUCCCUACAGUGUUGAGCCAUCGACAGCAGCGAUGCUAGAUGAACAAAUGGUGAUGCUUUUGAAGUUUUCAUAGGGGUGUGAACUGUGCUGCCUUGAACUCAAACAUUGCCGGUGAGGAAGGUGAAAAAUGCAAAAUAUCAGCUACUGGAGAGUGAAGUGGAGACUGACCAGAGUAAUCAGGUAGAUGAUUGAAUAGAUCGCGUAUAAACUCAACCAUAGACCCAAGGUUUGGGGCCAAGGUUCUUCCUCUUAUUCAGGAUUUUCGAUUGGACUUGGACGUGAGCAUCGGACAUGCAUGUCAUAUCUGUGGCGCGCGUCGUGUGCAGAACGAGAUCCAGCUUAGCCGAGUUGUGUGACCAGUGAAAGGAGCGGGUAAACUAGAUCUAGCUAGCCGUUUAUCCUGACGGAGGAUUCUCGUUCAUGCGUAUAUGUUCCAAUUUAAUUUGGGAUGAUGCAACCAAGCAAUAGCUCAGCUAGAGUGUGUGCACUUUAGUCUUCCUUCUCUUCAGGUCUCGCUCCAGGAGAGUGGUGCAGAGCCCCUCGUGUGUGUCCAUUUCGUGAUUUUGUACUACAUUCAUGGUCUUUUUUAAGUAAGUAACAAUUUUUCUAUGCUUUGGGCUUUGGCUAAGUCGCCGGGCGCCAAAAAAAUAAAAAGAAGAAGAAAAACAAGGAGAGGGUGUUCCUAUUCUAAUGCCUCAUUUGGAACAAAGGAAUCUCAGAUGCCCUUUGGAUUGUAGGGUUGGCUUUGAGAGUUCCAGUCCGGCCUUUCCUGUCCUUUCCUUCGUGUUUGAUGAUUCUAAACAUUUGUUCAAACCUCGUGUUUUCACUUCAUCUGAGAAGUCCA